UCCGAGUUGACCCCGGCAGUCUCUUAUGAGUCCCCGGCAUAACCCGCUGGCAACAUAAGACAAGGGUUGCGCUCGUUGCGGGACUUAACCCAACAUCUCACGACACGAGCUGACGACAACCAUGCACCACCUGUGCACGGACCUUGCGGGGGAACCAUCUCUGGAACUUUCCCGUGCAUGUCAAGCCUUGGUAAGGUUCUUCGCGUUGCAUCGAAUUAAUCCGCAUGCUCCGCCGCUUGUGCGGGCCCCCGUCAAUUCCUUUGAGUUUUAGCCUUGCGGCCGUACUCCCCAGGCGGGGCGCUUAAUGCGUUAGCUGCGGCACGGAGUUCGUGGAAGGAACCCCACACCUAGCGCCCAACGUUUACGGCGUGGACUAC
RNAcentral lists this unclassified non-coding RNA (377 nucleotides) under uncultured Nakamurellaceae bacterium. RNAcentral's name for it is "contains 16S-23S intergenic spacer region". Lineage: Bacteria; Bacillati; Actinomycetota; Actinomycetes; Nakamurellales; Nakamurellaceae. The record is from RNAcentral.